CGCGUAGGCGGUUAAAUAAGUCAGAUGUGAAAGCCCCGGGCUCAACCUGGGAACUGCAUUUGAAACUGUUUAGCUAGAGUGUGGUAGAGGAGAGUGGAAUUUCAGGUGUAGCGGUGAAAUGCGUAGAUAUCUGAAGGAACAUCAGUGGCGAAGGCGGCUCUCUGGACCAACACUGACGCUGAGGUGCGAAAGCGUGGGUAGCAACG
RNAcentral lists this ribosomal RNA (206 nucleotides) under uncultured bacterium. Its description in RNAcentral is "partial 16S ribosomal RNA". It matches the Rfam family "Bacterial small subunit ribosomal RNA", at positions 568 to 773 of the family's 1533-position model. The record is from RNAcentral.